Molecule: long non-coding RNA, 2700 nt
Filed under: Struthio camelus australis
Lineage: Eukaryota; Metazoa; Chordata; Aves; Struthioniformes; Struthionidae
Description: lncRNA (ENSSCUG00000011137.1)
Source: RNAcentral
UUCCCAGACGGGAGGUGAGGAGGUCAGUCUGGACCUCUGGACAUUUGCAGCGCUAACUUGCAGACGUGUCAUGUGAAAGCAGUGUGAGCCUUUGAGUGUUUGACGGCGGUUUGUUUGUAUAUAUGCCGCAAAGCGCAAUUCAGAUCAUGAGAUUAGCUGUCAGGUCAUCUGCUGUGAAAUCCAUUAUGAAAAACACCCGGAAACUGAUGCUUGACUUGAAAUACUUAGUUUACUAAAUUGCAGAAAUUAUCUUUGGAAGGUUUUGUCAGAUAAAUACAUUUUUUUAAUGUAUCUAUAUUUAUAUCUCUAUAUCUAUCUACACGCGCACGCACACACACAUGCACACAUAUAUAUAUAAAAUAGUGUUUGCAGUAAUACCUCAUGCAAAGUGCUAGUUGAAUAAAUCUGUCACUGAAACUUCAAUUCCAGAUUACUACACUCCAAGAUCUGCUAUCAUAAAUGAAAACACAUCUUUAGAAAGUUCACAACGGUCUGAAGUAGAUGAGCUAUUGAAACGCAAUAGAAAAUCUACCCCUUACAGAUUAGUCAAACAAUGAAUGUAGUCCUGCAUGUAAACAUUGUCUAACUGUAUUGGCAGGGUAAAUGGUUCCUGAUUUACUACUGCAGGAAUAGGUAGCAUUUCCUAAGACUAUGAAUACUAAUAUAAAUGAUCUUGAGGGGGGAAAAAAGUAUUUUAAAUCUGUAAGCCUGGUCAAGCAAUUCAGAUGCUGAUAACAAAUCCAUCAAUUACCAAAUUAUUACACAUUUCCAAUAUUAUGAUUAGUCUCUGUGAGCAUCAAUAUACAAUUUGCUAGGAAGUAAAUCCUAAAUAGUUCUUGAAAUACUUUGAGAAAUAGUUUUAAUCUGUGGAUGUCCUGAAAAGCCACAGCCCUGAAUCAGGAGAUCAAAGAGGAACGAAACAGUCAGUUUUUUUAGGAUUUCAGUGAUGGCCUUUCUUGUUUGUUGUUGUUGCUACCUCUCUUUGUGUUUUCAAACUGCACACAGUCUUGUGUGCAUUAUGGAUUUAUGCAGUAAUAGCCAUAUUUACCUUUGCAGCCAUUUGAAUGUAGCAGCAAAGCAUAAGCUCCUGAAGGAGAAAAAGAUAAAAGAAGAAAAAAAAAAAGAGAGAAAGAAGCAGAGCAACACAGGUGGUAGUGAAGGCACACUUCUAGCUUCUUGUAGAUUACUGCCUUGCUGCAGCUGCUUGCCGUACCUGCAACGGAUGGUUUUGCCUUGGUCAGACAAUAAUUCAACCAGCACCAUCAGGCUGUGUCGUUGCACCUCCCCAUGAAAUCCACCCUAGGCCCACACCGCUUGGAACUCGUUUCUGGCAGUGAUACCUCCAAUCCCUUGAAGAUGGCAAGGCAGGCAGGGUGCUACGACAACUCCUGAUUAUUUUAAUUCCAGCCAUUGUACCAUUGCUUUAUGUUUCUUCUCUCUGUCUGUUUGUAUCAACUUAUUAGUUGGACUGUAAGCAAUCUGGGCAGGCACCGUCUUGUCUUUCUGCGAUGUACAGCACCUAGCACAACUGGACUCUGAGCCCAAACCAGAACCCUGAGGGUGAUACCACAAUACAGAGAAUAAUUAAAAAGCUGUGCUCUCUUCCCAGAUGAGACACACUCCUGUAGUGUGUAAAUCAGUCACAGUCCUGGAGGAAUAAUCCAGGCAGGAUAAUUGCACGGGGGAAAGGCCCCAGGCAUGAUAGGGGUUUGCAUUAGCAAUGCCUUUUCAUCCAUCUGUCUUUUGACUGGAGCUAUAGAAGGCCAAAAUCUGACUUAUAAGGAUGUUUUGAUCAACUGAUUAUUCCACUGACAGAGCUCCUGAAGUCCCCACCAUAUACAAAAUAUCUUAUUUGUGUGCAGGAACAACCAAGAGCCCGAGACGGAAAGGCUUCCUUCUUCAAAGAUUUAUCUCUUUAGGACUUACCCAGUUCCCUUAUUAUCCUGGAGAUUUUGGCCAUUGGCUUGAUCAGGGGAAAAAUUUCACCUUGAGUGUUUAUCCACCGAAUAUAGUGGAAGCAGGCACAGACCAAAGAAGAAUUUGGCUCAGAGCAGGCAUAAAUUGAUAGAGUCUAUUGGCGUAUUAUUGUUAUUUAUUAAUUCAGCUACAGAGGAACUCAAGAGCCCUAGUCACGGUCAGCACUUUAUUGUGCUGUUCAAAUGCGUUAGGAGACCUGUCCCACACCUCUAGUCAUGAUAUGUCGUUAGGGAGAGGUAACGGUGAUGAAGACCAUCAGUACCAAAAAGUAUCCCAAGAAUGAAUGUGAAAGCAAUGCAAGGGCAAAUAUACUUGUCUUGCAGUCAGAUUCUAUUGCACAAAUCAUAUCUAAGUUAUGUGCUAAUAACGACGACUAUGCUGUUAACGAGUUUAUCUUAAAGUUUAGAAAAGGCAUUUUGGUGUGGUACAGGAGAAGGAGUCUAUACUGAACUCCACCUAUGUAUUUUCUUUUUAAUAUCAUCUAAACUUUAUUGAAGACUAUCCACAGAACUAAAAAUUGUUGGUAUUAACACUCUAGGGCAUCCUAUGUACCGAAGUCUCAAUUUCUUAUCCUGAAUACGUGUUCUGGCUGACAAAUUUUGGGGUGUUAUUUUGCCUUCUAGAUAUUCAGAUGUUCCUUUCACAUCAGGGAAUUUAAUUAACAGCUUUUGCAUGUAUUUAAAGCAAAAUAAACUUUCCCUGAUCCUCCUGAUGGCGAGGAGC